UACGGAGGGUGCAAGCGUUAUCCGGAUUCACUGGGUUUAAAGGGUGCGUAGGUGGCUUUGUAAGUCAGUGGUGAAAUCUUAGAGCUUAACUCUAAAACUGCCAUUGAUACUGCUUAGCUUGAAUCAAGUAGAGGUGGAUGGAAUAAUACAUGUAGCGGUGAAAUGCUUAGAUAUGUAUUAGAACACCGAUUGCGAAGGCAGUUCACUAUGCUGUAUUGACGCUGAGACGCGAAAGCGUGGGGAGCAAACAGG
Molecule: ribosomal RNA, 252 nt
Filed under: uncultured bacterium
Lineage: Bacteria
Description: partial 16S ribosomal RNA
Rfam family: Bacterial small subunit ribosomal RNA
Source: RNAcentral